Molecule: long non-coding RNA, 199 nt
Filed under: Elaeis guineensis (African oil palm)
Lineage: Eukaryota; Viridiplantae; Streptophyta; Magnoliopsida; Arecales; Arecaceae
Description: long non-coding RNA (EGUI_LNC015198)
Source: RNAcentral
AGUUAGAUUGAGAUAUCUCAUUGUAGUUGGCAUGUUAUUGAGCAGUCAUUUGGAGGUCCUAGCCGAAGUCAAGAUAGCUCCCUAAGGUCGAUUCAUUUCAACCUAGUCGUCGGAGGUCCAUACCAGAGCUCGGAUAUCCCCGAUCAGUUUUUGUCCAACUUUCAUUUGUUAAGGACCAAGCUUAAGCUCAGGUGUCUCU